GUCCACGCCCUAAACGAUGCGAACUGGAUGUUGGGUGCAACUUGGCACCCAGUAUCGAAGCUAACGCGUUAAGUUCGCCGCCUGGGGAGUACGGUCGCAAGACUGAAACUCAAAGGAAUUGACGGGGGCCCGCACAAGCGGUGGAGUAUGUGGUUUAAUUCGAUGCAACGCGAAGAACCUUACCUGGUCUUGACAUCCACGGAACUUUCCAGAGAUGGAUUGGUGCCUUCGGGAACCGUGAGACAGGUGCUGCAUGGCUGUCGU
Molecule: ribosomal RNA, 264 nt
Filed under: uncultured bacterium
Lineage: Bacteria
Description: partial 16S ribosomal RNA
Rfam family: Bacterial small subunit ribosomal RNA
Source: RNAcentral